Long non-coding RNA from Alosa alosa (allis shad), 578 nucleotides. RefSeq lists it as uncharacterized. The record is from RefSeq and is a predicted model, not a curated record. The transcript is spliced from 3 exons. NCBI's taxonomy places the organism in Eukaryota, Metazoa, Chordata, Actinopteri, Clupeiformes, Clupeidae.
CAGCAGCUGUACCUGAACCUAUGGCUGCAUGUGAACUUCUCACCUCGUCAGCCCAACUCAGUCGCUCGACAGGAUACCUGGAGGGCCAAAGAGUAUGACAAAGCAAUGUGAAUGCACAGCUGAUGGGAGCCCUUCUGGAAUGUUCCUCAUUACUGCGUUGCCAGGUGUGAUGAGAAUCCUCUGCCAGAUUUGAAAAAGCACGCUCAACAUGACAUCACGUCAGGGUGACAACAGGAAGUGAUAAUAUAGCUCACAGCAUGGACAUGAAGGAACUAGAUCUAGAACAAAAAAUAAUUAAUCAAAGUCCAAAGAUGACAAAAACAGAUGCAUAUAGCUUCUAGCAAGUCACUGAUGAAUGAAGUAUGGAUUAAAUAGUUUUGAAAAUAUAUAUAUAUAUAUAUAUAUAUUUUUUUUCUAAAAUAUGCAUUUAUAUGUGAGUAAACAUAAUUGAAAACAAUGCAAAGGUAAUAGUAUUAAAUUUGUUGGCUCACUGAGUGACGUAUUAAAUAUUUUAUAUAUGUAUGUAUUAUUUACAUAAUACCAUAUGUAUAUGGUAGUUAUAAAUGAAAUGUUGAUAU